UUUUUGAAAAUAAUUUAAAGUCUAAUCUGCCCACUGAUAUUGUAUUGAAGGGCUGCAGUAUUUUGACUGUACAAAGGUAGCAUAAUCAUUAGUCUCUUAAUUGGUGACUUGUAUGAAGGAUUUGAUGAAAUAUAAACUGUCUCAUUUUAAUUUAUUGAAUUUAAUUUUUUAGUUAAAAAGCUAAAAUUUAAUUAAAAGACGAGAAGACCCUAUAGAGUUUAAUAAUUUAAUUAGUUAUUAUUUUAUAUAAUUUUUUUUUUUAAAAAUUAAUUAAAUUAUUUUGUUGGGGUGAUAGAAAAAUUUAAUUAACUUUUUAUAAAAAUUAACAUUAAUUUAUGAAUAAAUGAUCCGUAAUUUGCGAUUAUAAGAAAAAAUUACCUUAGGGAUAACAGCGUAAUUUUUUUUUUUAGUUCAAAUAAGAAAAAGAGUUUGCGACCUCGAUGUUGGAUUAAGAUAAAAUUUAAAUGCAAAAGUUUAAAAUUUUU
This 485-nucleotide ribosomal RNA is filed under the name Archon apollinus (false apollo). RNAcentral's name for it is "partial 16S ribosomal RNA". The record is from RNAcentral. Lineage: Eukaryota; Metazoa; Arthropoda; Insecta; Lepidoptera; Papilionidae.